Schistocerca nitens (vagrant locust) is the source of this 529-nucleotide long non-coding RNA. RefSeq lists it as uncharacterized. The transcript has 4 exons. NCBI's taxonomy places the organism in Eukaryota, Metazoa, Arthropoda, Insecta, Orthoptera, Acrididae. The record is from RefSeq and is a predicted model, not a curated record.
CGUGACGCCCAGUGUGAAUUGGCCUUAAUCAACAUAACUGGCCAAUAAAUGUAGGAUCCCUCGCGUAAAGGUGAUGAUUGCCGAAGCAACAGGGAGUAUGAUAACCACACAAAGACUAUAUGAAGUGUUCGCGCGUCGAAAGCAGGAGCAAGGAUCAAGUGGCUCUUCUGCUCUCUCUGCCAUUGGGAAGUGACGUUUCCUCUUCCGCCUUAGAGACCAUUGGCUGGGCUUCGCCUGUAACCCGAGGAAUCUGAAGGCCCCAGUCUUCGUACAGCCAUCCUGAUGUAGGUUUUCCGUGGUUUCUUUGAAUUACUUCAGGCAAAUUUAGGAUCUUACCUAUUAUAGUAUAAGACCACAGCCGACUACCUGUUCCAUCCUUGUCAAAAUAUACCUAUCACACCGACUUACAGAAACUGAGGAGUCGGUGCUGCAAGACGUACCUUGAACGAUGGGUAAAGGCCAAUCUGCCCAGUCCGAAUGGACCGGCCUUUGCUCCAGCCAUCCCAGUGGUUACCUGCAACACUGACUG